AGUGAACGCUGGCGGUAGGCCUAACUCAUGCAAGUCGAACGGCAGCACAGUAAGAGCUUGCUCUUACGGGUGGCGAGUGGCGGACGGGUGAGGAAUACAUCGGAAUCUACUUUUUCGUGGGGGAUAACGUAGGGAAACUUACGCUAAUACCGCAUACGACCUACGGGUGAAAGCAGGGGAUCUUCGGACCUUGCGCGAUUGAAUGAGCCGAUGUCGGAUUAGCUAGUUGGCGGGGUAAAGGCCCACCAAGGCGACGAUCCGUAGCUGGUCUGAGAGGAUGAUCAGCCUCACUGGAACUGAGACACGGUCCAGACUCCUACGGGAGGCAGCAGUGGGGAAUAUUGGACAAUGGGCGCAAGCCUGAUCCAGCCAUACCGCGUGGGUGAAGAAGGCCUUCGGGUUGUAAAGCCCUUUUGUUGGGAAAGAAAAGCAGCAGGUUAAUACCCCGCUGUUCUGACGGUACCCAAAGAAUAAGCACCGGCUAACUUCGUG
Molecule: ribosomal RNA, 492 nt
Filed under: uncultured bacterium
Lineage: Bacteria
Description: partial 16S ribosomal RNA
Rfam family: Bacterial small subunit ribosomal RNA
Source: RNAcentral